This 207-nucleotide ribosomal RNA is filed under the name uncultured bacterium. RNAcentral's name for it is "partial 16S ribosomal RNA". It matches the Rfam family "Bacterial small subunit ribosomal RNA", at positions 568 to 774 of the family's 1533-position model. The record is from RNAcentral.
CUCGUAGGCGGUUCGUCGCGUCCGGUGUGAAAGUCCAUCGCUUAACGGUGGAUCCGCGCCGGGUACGGGCGGGCUUGAGUGCGGUAGGGGAGACUGGAAUUCCCGGUGUAACGGUGGAAUGUGUAGAUAUCGGGAAGAACACUAAUGGCGAAGGCAGGUCUCUGGGCCGUCACUGACGCUGAGGAGCGAAAGCGUGGGGAGCGAACA